Molecule: unclassified non-coding RNA, 778 nt
Filed under: soil metagenome
Description: partial contains internal transcribed spacer 1, 5.8S ribosomal RNA, and internal transcribed spacer 2
Rfam family: 5.8S ribosomal RNA (bases 174-327)
Source: RNAcentral
CAGAGUUGCAAAACUCCCUAAACCAUUGUGAACGUUACCUAAACCGUUGCUUCGGCGGGCGGCCCCGGGGUUCUCCCCGGGCGCCCCUGGGCCCCAUCGCGGGCGCCCGCCGGAGGUCUCCAAACUCUUGAUACUUUAUGGCCUCUCUGAGUCUUCUGUACUGAAUAAGUCAAAACUUUCAACAACGGAUCUCUUGGUUCUGGCAUCGAUGAAGAACGCAGCGAAAUGCGAUAAGUAAUGUGAAUUGCAGAAUUCAGUGAAUCAUCGAAUCUUUGAACGCACAUUGCGCCCGCCAGUAUUCUGGCGGGCAUGCCUGUUCGAGCGUCAUUUCAACCAUCAAGCCCCCGGCUUGUGUUGGGGACCUGCGGCUGCCGCAGGCCCUGAAAAGCAGUGGCGGGCUCGCUGUCACACCGAGCGUAGUAGCAUACAUAUCGCUCUGGGCGUGCUGCGGGUUCCGGCCGUUAAACCACCUUCAUAACCCAAGGUUGACCUCGGAUCAGGUAGGAAGACCCGCUGAACUUAAGCAUAUCAAUAAGCGGAGGAAUCGGCAUCUUGGUCAUUUAGAGGAAGUAAAAGUCGUAACAAGGUUUCCGUAGGUGAGCCUGCGGAAGGAUCAUUAACGAGUUUUAAUUGUUAGGUUAGAGUUGAGCUGGUUAAUCUAAUUAAUAUGUGCUUACUCUAAUCGAAACAAGUCCACUCAUUACUUAACACUUGUGAACUUAUUCAUUACAAACAUUAUUAUUUGUUAUUGGAACGUUUGAUUAUUAAAAAGUUAAUA